RNAcentral lists this ribosomal RNA (429 nucleotides) under Chloroflexota bacterium. Its description in RNAcentral is "Chloroflexi bacterium partial 16S ribosomal RNA". It matches the Rfam family "Bacterial small subunit ribosomal RNA", at positions 355 to 776 of the family's 1533-position model. Lineage: Bacteria; Bacillati; Chloroflexota. The record is from RNAcentral.
UAGGGAAUCUUCGGCAAUGGACGAAAGUCUGACCGAGCAACGCCGCGUGAGUGAAGAAGGUUUUCGGAUCGUAUAACUCUGUUGUUUGAGAAGAACAAGGACGUUAGUAACUGAACGUCCCCUGACGGUAUCUAACCAGAAAGCCACGGCUAACUACGUGCCAGCAGCCGCGGUAAUACGUAGGUGGCAAGCGUUGUCCGGAUUUAUUGGGCAUAAAGCGAGCGCAGGCGGUUUCUUAAGUCUGAUGUGAAAGCCCCCGGCUCAACCGGGGAGGGUCAUUGGAAACUGGGAGAGAGGAGUGCAGAAGAGGAGAGUGGAAGUCCAUGUGUAGGGGUGAAAAGCGUAGAUAUAUGGAGGAAAAACAGUGGCGAAGGCGGAUCUCAGGUAUGUAAAAGACGCUGAGGCUCGAAAGAGUGGGGAGCAAACAGG